CCUGAAGGUCCUCAUUUCCUGUGCUCUCAGAAGCUAAGCAGGGUCAACCUGGUGAGUACUUGGAUGGGAAGAAGACAUUGACUUUCAGGC
RNAcentral lists this ribosomal RNA (90 nucleotides) under Jaculus jaculus (lesser Egyptian jerboa). The record is from RNAcentral. Lineage: Eukaryota; Metazoa; Chordata; Mammalia; Rodentia; Dipodidae.